AUAGAACACUAUACCUGGAAUGGUUUGUGUUCCAAAUGAAUGUCGCCGUAGGAUGGGACUGCGGCCUAUCAGUUUGUUGGUGAGGUAAUGGCCCACCAAGACUAUUACAGGUACGGGCUCUGAGAGGAGUAGCCCGGAGAUGGGUACUGAGACACGGACCCAGGCCCUAUGGGGCGCAGCAGGCGAGAAAACUUUGCAAUGUGCGAAAGCACGACAAGGUUAAUCCGAGUGGUUUGUGCUAAACGAACCUUUUGACAGUCCUAGAAACACUGUUGAAUAAGGGGUGGGCAAGUUCUGGUGUCAGCCGCCGCGGUAAAACCAGCACCUCAAGUGGUCAGGAUGAUUAUUGGGCCUAAAGCAUCCGUAGCCGGCUCUGUAAGUUUUCGGUUAAAUCUGUACGCUCAACGUACAGGCUGCCGGGAAUACUGCAGAGCUAGGGAGUGGGAGAGGUAGACGGUACUCGGUAGGAAGGGGUAAAAUCCUUUGAUCUAUUGAUGACCACCUGUGGCGAAGGCGGUCUACCAGAACACGUCCGACGGUGAGGGAUGAAAGCUGGGGGAGCAAACCGGAUUAGAUACCCGGGUAGUCCCAGCUGUAAACUAUGCAAACUCAGUGAUGCAUUGGCUUGUGGCCAAUGCAGUGCUGCAGGGAAGCCGUUAAGUCUGCCGCCUGGGAAGUACGUACGCAAGUAUGAAACUUAAAGGAAUUGGCGGGGGAGCACCACAAGGGGUGAAGCCUGCGGUUC
RNAcentral lists this ribosomal RNA (745 nucleotides) under uncultured bacterium. Its description in RNAcentral is "bacterial SSU rRNA". It matches the Rfam family "Archaeal small subunit ribosomal RNA", at positions 156 to 903 of the family's 1478-position model. The record is from RNAcentral.